Vicia villosa (hairy vetch) is the source of this 1906-nucleotide long non-coding RNA. RefSeq lists it as uncharacterized. The record is from RefSeq and is a predicted model, not a curated record. Lineage: Eukaryota; Viridiplantae; Streptophyta; Magnoliopsida; Fabales; Fabaceae. The transcript has 4 exons.
GACUAACAUUAUAAAUGUGAAUAGCACUACCCCAUAACCAACCAUCCCUACCCAAAAAAAAUUCAAAAAUUUUAAGGUUUUUCAGAUUCUCAGUUGCAUGUUCGUUUUCUCCACCUUGUUUACAACCAUCACUUUAAAUGAACUAGCUACCUUGUUUACAACCAUCACUUUAAAUAAACCAACAAUGUUAUCUAAAGAAAGGGUUCAACAAAUCUCAACUUUCUUCUUUGUUUAUGGUUGCAAAGUUGUUACUAGACAUCACUUUGAAAUCCCCAACUUAUGCAAGAAAACAAAUCUCUUUUGCCCCUCUUGCGAGAAUGAUCUGAAACUUGGUGUUUUAAAUAUAAUGAUUCUCGAUAUAACAUACAUAUACGUAUGUUCCAAAAGAAUUUAAAGCUUUGUGCUGAAUAAUGAACAAAGUCACAAGAACAAAUUCUUAUCCUUCUCAGCAUCAGAUUUAAAUUCUUUUGGAACAUACAGUAUAUGAGAGCUAUCAUUAACACCAAGUUUCAGAUCAUCCUUCCAUUGGCUUUAAAUUCUUUUGGUCUAUGAUGUAUGUAUGUCAUCAUGUAAAUCAUCUCGAAUCACUUCCAUGGAACUCUUCUCUCCCUCAACGCGAUGAACAUGACAACUCUUUUUCACUCUUCACUGGCUCCAAUGAACUAAAAGGAGGAAAGAAAGAAGUAUUGAAGCAAGCUCUUUUAUUCCGGAGUAAUAUCUGCCUUGAGAUAAUGUCGAGAUUUUGAAGCAAGCUCUUUUAAACAACAAAGUGAGUUACAACUUACAAGGUUGGAUUCAAUUGUGUUUCAAGUCACACCAACUAGAACCAGGUUAGAGCUGCAGAGCUAAGGAAAAUAUUGGUGAAACUUGGGCCGAUAGCAGUGGAUAGAUAACACAGUAACUUAUUUUCAGAUAGCAGUGGAUAACAUUUCUGACAACAACUUGAUUCCAAACAACACCUUCAAGUUAUUAAUGAAUUUCUAUCUUUAAUUUUUUUUGGUCUCGUUAUAGUUGUAUCUUAUUUCUAGCUUGUUGAAUAGCUGGGGGGGCAUGGAUCAUUGUUAUAGUUGUAUCUUAUUCCAAAUGUGAGAAUUUAUCAUGCUCAAACAAUGGAUCUCAAAUGGAAAUUUGUGAUAAACAAUGGCGUAGCAAUAUGUCAUCUUAACACUACUGCAUGGAGUUCACAUCAGGUUGCUUUUCAGAUGCUUGGUUUUGGACCAGGAAAAAUUGAAGUGUGCCACUGGUUUUACGGGAAUGAUCAUGCGUGGACUGUUGCUACAUGAAGGUGUUGUUUUGAAUCAAGUUAUUGUCAGAAAUGUUAUCCACUGCUAUCUGGAAAUAAGUUACUGUGUUAUCUAUCCACUGCUAUCUUGUGUUAUCUAUUAAUAUUAGUUCUUACUAUGUAUGUCUGUGUGUGAUAAGAUUUCAAGUAUCAAGUUAUGUAAUCUCAUCUUUAUAUAAUUAACAGUAUCUUGUUUAAUAUUAAUUUUUAUGAAUAUGUUUAGAUAUUUCCCAAUAAUAUAUUUAACUAUGAAAAAAUUAAUUUAUAUCAAUACCUAACCUUUGAUUUUAUCUUUUAAAUUUUAUAUUAAAAAACCAUUAUUCAUCAUUAAUGACAUUGUAAAACUAGGGUGGAGAUUCUCUCCCAUAUAAAGAAAAACCUGGCUAGCCAAUGUUAAUCCUAAUUCCUAACCAUUCAACCUAAUUUAACUAGUUUUAUCAUAAUUUAUAAAUAAAACUAAAUCAACCAUUAUGAUUCCAUUGGAGAAAAAAAACUCGAGAGGAUCCUUUAGUCAAAUGUUAUUAAUGAAUUUCUAUUCACUUCUUUAUAUAAUAUAUUUUUUAAAAUUUAAUUUAUAACUUUAUUUAUAUUAAAAUGUUUAUAAUCAUUUAUUCAUAUAUGAAU